This 303-nucleotide non-coding RNA is filed under the name uncultured Pseudomonas sp. Lineage: Bacteria; Pseudomonadati; Pseudomonadota; Gammaproteobacteria; Pseudomonadales; Pseudomonadaceae. The record is from RNAcentral.
GGCACGGUCGUUAUUCAGCGGUAAUACGGUUUGUACUGAGCCUUUACCGAAGCUGUCAGUGCCCAUUAAUACGGCGCGCUUAUGAUCUUGUAGAGCGCCGGCAACAAUUUCUGAGGCCGAGGCACUACCACCAUUGAUCAGCACCACUAAAGGUACAUCGCCACUGAUAUUUUCAGCCGUAGCGGAAAAACGCAGCUCAGCAUUGGCCAAGCGACCUUUGGUGUAGACAAUUAAGCCAUCACUGAUAAAUUGAUCAGUCACCUCAACCGCAGCUUGCAGUACGCCGCCUGGGUUGUUACGUAA